This is an RNA transcript of Phycodurus eques (leafy seadragon), 4809 nucleotides long. It is a transcript of the gene named zinc finger protein DPF3-like, with no coding region annotated. NCBI's taxonomy places the organism in Eukaryota, Metazoa, Chordata, Actinopteri, Syngnathiformes, Syngnathidae. The transcript is spliced from 11 exons. The record is from RefSeq and is a predicted model, not a curated record.
UAUUGCAUUACAUUGUAGCAAAAUGGCGGCUGUCAUUCAGAAUCCACUAAAAGCGUUGGGCGACCAGUUUUAUAAGGACGCCAUUGAGCAGUGCCGCAGCUACAAUGCCCGCCUGUGCGCCGAACGCAGCGUGCGCCUGCCAUUCCUGGACUCACAAACCGGCGUGGCCCAGAACAACUGCUACAUCUGGAUGGAACGACAUCACCGCAGCCCAGGUGUAGCGGCCGGGCAGAUGUACACGUAUCCGGCCCGUUGCUGGCGAAAGAAGAGACGGCUGCACACCACCACCGACCCCAGCCUGGGAAUCUUUGGUCUCAAGCUCGACAACGGCCUCAUUUCCAAGGACACGUUGCCCACCCAGGGCACCACGCUAGAAGCUCUGCUACGAGGCGAAGGUCUCGACAAAAGGAACUCCAGGAACGAUGAGGAGAGUUUGCUGGAGAUCCAGAGAGUUCUGGAGGCAGACGCAGCAGAAGAUGCUUUCAAUGAUGACGAUGACUACGAGGUGGACACUCCCAAGAGGAGACACCGGGGCAAAGGAAGGGGUCGGGGCUCAGGCCGUAGGAAGGCAGACCUGGAUGACGACAAGCCAUAUGUCUGUGACAACAGAUACAAACAAAGGAAUAAUUCCAAAUCAUCAACCUCUGUCUAUGCGAAGCGCUAUAGGAGCCGUACGGGACUAAGCUACCACUAUACCAAUUCCCACCUGGCAGAGGAGGACAGAGCUGGGGAGAGGAGCACUGUGACAUCCAGGUCUCCUUCUCUGCAGCCCGCUGACAGACACAAACGUCCAAAGGCUCCCAUCGGCACCAGGAUUCCCAACCGAUACUGUGAGAAAUGUCAGAAUGCCAACAAGAAGCUCAUGAAAUCUGGCUCCCCCUGCACAACUUGCCAAUGCACAACUGACGGCGUCGAGGAGAAGGAGGAGGGAGGCGGCAGCGCGGGCGGCGCCGAGGAGCUGUUCGCCACCACGUCGGAGAGCGACGCCUCCACCUUUCACGGCUUUGAGGACGAUGAGCUGGAAGAGCCCGCCGCCAACAGCAAUGGAUUAUCCAGCCGCCACAGAUAAACACUAGCCUUUUCCAUCUUCAAAAAAAACAAACAAAAAAAAAAUCUGGAUUCAUCUCUGGCAAAAAUCUGCUGCUUCUUUUUUUUUUUUUUUUUUUUUUUAAGUUUUUGUUUGCAGAAAGCACAAUGUGAUCGCUUCAGGACAAAAGAAACAAAAAAAAAUUUAUCUACUGGACAUUAAUUUAUGAACAUUUAUUUAUAGAUCUAUAAAUUAAGUCAAUUAAUGACUUGCAAAACUUUGAAGUUUUUUCCCUUUUUGGAGCUGAAGGAGCAUAAUAAUGUGUGAACAAACAAACAAAAAACACUGGAGCAAUCAUAAAUUUGAACAGAGUAACCUUUUAAUGUCUGCAGGCUGUUUGAAUGUCAUUUAAAAGCCUUGACUGGAACUUUCUGGAGGAUCUUGCUAUGAGCUCUGUGACUCUGGAUUAUAUUUGUUUUCAAACAUGAAGGAACCAGUGAACGGACUACCGCAAACCAAUGGCGAUGUUUGGAGAUGUAGUCUAUUUAUUUUCUUUAUAGACACGAGCGCCUUAGUGAAUGAAAGCAAUGGUGUAUGGCGUGAUGAGUGUGCAUACAGGCUGUGGCGGCGGAGUGCAUUACUCACUGUUUUCCUUGUGACAACAGUACCUGCUUCUUCCAGAUAUUUUUAAGAUCUCCACAGGUGGUCCUUGGCUCUAGGACAAUUCUUCUGGUUAUUCUUUGCACUCCUCUGUCAGAAACCUAUUUGCCGUUUUUGUGCUCGUUUUGGAGCCCUGUCUAAUGAAAAUAUUGCUUUGGCACCAUAUUAUGGCCAAGUAACCAUGUUGAAGUGAUUGGAGGAGCUUCAUUUAAUGAGGUCAUAGCUGUGUCUAGAAAAAAGUGCUUUGCUGCCACCUUUCUUUUACUAGAUUUUUGUUGUUGUUGUGCUACUACGGCAGGGCUCAGUCCCUAUUCAAAGUAUUUACAGGAAAAUGUGAAGUUUUAUUCUAACUUGACUUUUCUGUGUCGUAGGAGCACUCUGCACAGGAGAAACAGACAUAGUAAACAAGGAUUUAACAACUCUUCCUGAAUUUGGGCCUAAAUGUACGUGACGAGGAGCGGACAAGUCCAACGUCCGCCAGACUCGCAGGCCGUGUGACUUCCGUGAAGCGCCCCUGACCAUGUGAAUAACUGAUUUUGUUUUGUUGCGGGGGGCAGAGGAACGUUGGAUCAGAGCCAGCUUCACCGAGGACUACGGCAAGACAAACAAGAAGGCCUUUGGACUUGUCGGGGCCUGAAUGAACCCCACAGCUCCCACCCUCCCCCACUUCCUGCCCGCUUGUGCCGUGUGAAUGCGAGUGAUCCGAUGUGACACCAAUACGUCAUUAUCCUCAUCACUGUGCCAGCCUGCCGCUCUGCACUGCAAACCAGCUAUGACAGCCAUAAGCCCCCCCCCCUUCCACCUGAUUGGACCAGUGACCCUCCCCGCCCCCUUCCCUCAGCCAUAGUUGGUGCUUAAUUAGUACACGCAGACCUCUGAACCUUUCCGCUCGUCGCUUGACUUGAAUUGUCGCGUCUCCUCACUGCGCUUCUAGGGUGCUUGGUAUAUUUGUCAGAUUUUGGGAUAAGCGGACAGAUACCUCUGGCCGCCAAACUACUCAGGCAUCCGUCAUUAACGCUCUGCUGUUGAUUGUUGGGCCUCUCUCUUCGCAGCCCAGAAUCACGUGAUUGUAUUGAGCUGCCGCAGAGGGACAAUAACAUCACACAAGGGUCCCGUGAUGAAUGAGCGCACACGACCAGGAACGCUGCUGAAACGCUGGAAUAAUUUAGUGUGUGUGCGUGUGCGUGUGUGUGUGCGUGUGCGUGUGCGUGCGUGUGUGUGUGUGUGUGUGUGUGUGUGUGUGUGUGUGUGUGUGUGUGUGUGUGUGUGCCUGUGCCUGUGCCUGCGCACGCGUGCACGUGUGCUUGGAAAGAAGGCCUAGUCGUGUGAUCUUUAACAUUGGACAUUGAAGGAUCAAUUAGGGAUGGGCAGUUGACGUCAUUCCUUUGAUUGGAUAUUUUUAAUGGGGUGAAAAGCAGCCAUUAUUUAUUUCAAAAACAACUUUGUUCACGUUAUGACUUGUCAAUUUUUUUUCAAAAAAUAUUUUCAAUUUGUAACAUGACUUUCUCUUGUAAUAUUACAACUUGUAAUAUUGCAACUUUUUCAUAAUUUUACCUUUUUCUUGGAAUAAACUUUUUAAAAAAUGAGCCUAUUCUCGCAAUGUUAAAACUUUUUAAAUAUUGGUAAUUUUUUUGAAUUUGACUAUUUUACUGUAAUUACAACUUUUUAUUACUUUCCUCCCCAAAAAAGUAUUCUUGCAACCUCAUGCAUUUUUUGACUUAGUGGAAUGUCUUAUUCUCAUCAUCUGUGUUUUUCCUGCCCCAAAAAACAGUUCUUGUAAUGUGACGUUUAGUCAUGAAAAACAGCUUAUUCUCGUAAUACUUUACUCUCCGAGCCACCAUCCAAGAAAGUUGUAACUUCAAAAAGACUAUUCUCGAAACUUUUACUUUUUUGGGGCAAAGAUUUACAAAAUUAUCCUCUAAAAUAUGACAAUUUGAUUUUCCACAGAGGAUGAAUUAUCUAUCCAUCUAUCUCAUAUUCUUGUAAUGUUGACUUUUGUCUUGAAAAAUAAGACCAUUAUAAUGUGAUGACUUCUUUCUCGUAAUAGGUACAUUUUUAAAGUGCUGAUUUUGACUCAUUACAUGUGCUUUUCUUUUCUGCCGCUUAUAUGCUGUCCUUUGUCCAUCACAAGAAAUGUUGACUUUAUUCUCGUAACUUCCCUAUUACAAAUUUACUGGCUUCAUUCUCGUCACCUCAUGGCUUUUUUUCAUGAUUUAAAUAUUUCUAAUUUUUCAGGCCAUGGAUUGAAUAAACAGCGCCUCUGCAGGUCCAACUAGUAGUGCACUUAAUUGCUUCAAGACGAGAUUCAGCGACAAUCAACUCCGCACAAUCCAACGGAUUCUUAAGGAUUUUAUAACAUUUUUAACAUAUUAAAAGCUUUCUUGUAUUAUUGUAAAUUUAUCCACAUAACAGGGCUUUUUCUUGUAAUCCAUCGUAAUGUUCAGACUUUUUUUUAGCGAAAAACUUAUUGGAACAUGACUUUUGUUCAUGUUUUUUCUUGUCCUAUUAAAACCCAUUUUCUUAACUGAACUUAAUUAUAUUCUGACUUAAAAAAAUAGUGAACCACUUAUUUUCUUUAAACUAUCUUCAUAACAGUGGUUUUAUUGUUUUAAGUUAAAAAGAGAAUUUAUCUGGAUUUCACAACUUUUGAAACGUUUCCUCAUACUCUCCCCCAAAAAAUCCAUUAAACAACAAAUUUUAAAUAGAUUUUUACUACUUUUUGAUCUCUUAACAAACCAGUUAAGUUUAAAUCUGCAGCACCUCUGCUGGUUUUGACUCCAAAACACGAUUGAAAAAAAAUUCUGAUGCCCAUCCCUAAUGAACUUCAUCUGUGUUGCCCCCCCCCCCCCCCCCCCCCCCCCAGGGUCCCUUCUCGCAGUCGCUUUCCCUCCAUCUCCCCGUGUGUUUAAUCAGCCAAGCAAGCAGACAGCCAUCCUGCACGCGCUGCUCAAGUGUGGCGAAAGUCCUCAACAACAACUGAAUGCAGAAGUCAUCUUUACCUAGACCAAGACACAGCAAUAACACCCCCCCCCCCCCCCCCCCCACCGCGAUGGGUAGUAAUCGUAGUGUGUGUUUAUGUGUGCGCGCGUGCGAUUACGUUGGGAAUGGAGCCGACAGGAGAU